This 440-nucleotide ribosomal RNA is filed under the name uncultured bacterium. RNAcentral describes it as "partial 16S ribosomal RNA". It matches the Rfam family "Bacterial small subunit ribosomal RNA", at positions 338 to 795 of the family's 1533-position model. The record is from RNAcentral.
CCUACGGGAGGCAGCAGUAGGGAAUAUUGCUCAAUGGGGGAAACCCUGAAGCAGCCACGCCGCGUGGAGGAUGAAGGUUUUCGGAUUGUAAACUCCUUUUGUUAGAGGAGAUAAUGACGGUAUCUAACGAAUAAGCACCGGCUAACUCCGUGCCAGCAGCCGCGGUAAUACGGAGGGUGCAAGCGUUACUCGGAAUCACUGGGCGUAAAGCGCGCGUAGGCGGGAUAGCAAGUCAGAUGUGAAAUCCUAUGGCUUAACCAUAGAACUGCAUUUGAAACUGUUAUUCUAGAGUAUGGGAGAGGUAGGUGGAAUUCGUGGUGUAGGGGUAAAAUCCGUAGAGAUCAAGAGGAAUACUCAUUGCGAAGGCGACCUGCUAGAACAUAACUGACGCUGAUGCGCGAAAGCGUGGGGAGCAAACAGGAUUAGAUACCCCAGUAGUC